UGCAGCAGGCGCGAAAACUUUACAAUGCGAGAAAUCGUGAUAAGGGAACCCCGAGUGCCCGUAAAUUCGGGCUGUCCAUCAGCGUAAAAAACUGGUGAAGAAAGGGCCGGGCAAGACCGGUGCCAGCCGCCGCGGUAAUAC
RNAcentral lists this ribosomal RNA (141 nucleotides) under uncultured archaeon. RNAcentral describes it as "partial 16S ribosomal RNA". It matches the Rfam family "Archaeal small subunit ribosomal RNA", at positions 331 to 476 of the family's 1478-position model. The record is from RNAcentral.